RNAcentral lists this ribosomal RNA (429 nucleotides) under uncultured Maricaulis sp. RNAcentral describes it as "bacterial SSU rRNA". It matches the Rfam family "Bacterial small subunit ribosomal RNA", at positions 29 to 505 of the family's 1533-position model. The record is from RNAcentral. Lineage: Bacteria; Pseudomonadati; Pseudomonadota; Alphaproteobacteria; Maricaulales; Maricaulaceae.
AACGAACGCUGGCGGCAGGCUUAACACAUGCAAGUCGAGCGCCCACUUGUGGGAGCGGCAGACGGGUGAGUAACGCGUGGGAACAUGCCCUUCGGUUCGGAAUAGCCCCGGGAAACUGGGUGUAAUACCGAAUACGUCCUCAGGGAGAAAGAUUUAUCGCCGAAGGAUUGGCCCGCGUUAGAUUAGGUAGUUGGUGAGGUAACGGCUCACCAAGCCUACGAUCUAUAGCUGGUUUGAGAGGAUGAUCAGCCACACUGGGACUGAGACACGGCCCAGACUCCUACGGGAGGCAGCAGUGAGGAAUCUUGGACAAUGGGGGAAACCCUGAUCCAGCCAUGCCGCGUGAAUGAUGAAGGCCUUAGGGUUGUAAAAUUCUUUCAGCAGGGAAGAUAAUGACGGUACCUGCAAAAGAAGCCCCGGCUAACUCCG